This 399-nucleotide ribosomal RNA is filed under the name uncultured bacterium. RNAcentral describes it as "partial 16S ribosomal RNA". It matches the Rfam family "Bacterial small subunit ribosomal RNA", at positions 355 to 745 of the family's 1533-position model. The record is from RNAcentral.
UGGGGAAUAUUGCACAAUGGGCGCAAGCCUGAUGCAGCCAUGCCGCGUGUGUGAAGAAGGCCUUAGGGUUGUAAAGCACUUUCAGCGAGGAGGAAGGCAUCACACUUAAUACGUGUGGUGAUUGACGUUACUCGCAGAAGAAGCACCGGCUAACUCCGUGCCAGCAGCCGCGGUAAUACGGAGGGUGCAAGCGUUAAUCGGAAUUACUGGGCGUAAAGCGCACGCAGGCGGUUUGUUAAGUCAGAUGUGAAAUCCCCGCGCUUAACGUGGGAACUGCAUUUGAAACUGGCAAGCUAGAGUCUUGUAGAGGGGGGUUAGAAUUCCAGGUGUAGCGGUGAGAUGCGUAGAGAUCUGGAGGAAUACCGGUGGCGAAGGCGGCCCCCUGGACAAAGACUGACG